UAGGGAAUAUUCGGCAAUGGACGGAAGUCUGACCGAGCAACGCCGCGUGAGUGAAGAAGGCUUUCGGAUUGUAAAGCUCUGUUGUUAGAGAAGAACGUUGGUAGGAGCGGAAAAUCUACCAAGUGACGGUAACUAACCAGAAAGGGACGGCUAACUACGUGCCAGCAGCCGCGGUAAUACGUAGGUCCCGAGCGUUGUCCGGAUUUAUUGGGCGUAAAGCGAGCGCAGGCGGUUCUUUAAGUCUGAAGUUAAAGGCAGUGGCUUAACCAUUAUACGCUUUGGAAACUGGAGGACUUGAGUGCAGAAGGGGAGAGUGGAAUUCCAUGUGUAGCGGUGAAAUGCGUAGAUAUAUGGAGGAACACCGGUGGCGAAAGCGGCUCUCUGGUCUGUAACUGACGCUGAGGCUCGAAAGCGUGGGGAGCAAACAGG
This 429-nucleotide ribosomal RNA is filed under the name Bacillota bacterium. RNAcentral describes it as "Firmicutes bacterium partial 16S ribosomal RNA". It matches the Rfam family "Bacterial small subunit ribosomal RNA", at positions 355 to 776 of the family's 1533-position model. Lineage: Bacteria; Bacillati; Bacillota. The record is from RNAcentral.